This 201-nucleotide ribosomal RNA is filed under the name uncultured Lactobacillus sp. RNAcentral describes it as "partial 16S ribosomal RNA". It matches the Rfam family "Bacterial small subunit ribosomal RNA", at positions 161 to 354 of the family's 1533-position model. The record is from RNAcentral. Lineage: Bacteria; Bacillati; Bacillota; Bacilli; Lactobacillales; Lactobacillaceae.
UGCUAAUACCGGAUAACAACAGAUGAUGCCUAUCAACUGUUUAAAAGAAUGGUUCUGCUAUCACUCUUGGAUGGACCUGCGGUGCAUUAGCUAGUUGGUAGGGUAACGGCCUACCAAGGCGAUGAUGCAUAGCCGAGUUGAGAGACUGAUCGGCCACAUUGGGACUGAGACACGGCCCAAACUCCUCGGGAGGCAGCAGAC